GGGUCCGUAAAGGUUUCGACGGGGAUUUUGAGGUAUGAUAAGCGGGUAGAGCCGGGCACACUCUGAAACGGCCCAAAUUAAAAUUAAACGCUAACAAUAGAACUGUAGCAAUGGCUGCCUAAUUGGCAGUGCCGUGGCAUAAGCCACCCGUUCCCCCGAGGAGUAUCGCGGCCUCGGGCUGAGCGUCAAGACAGCGGUGAACGUGCAUCGGCCUCUCGCCAUCGAGCCGAUCACGCAAAAGAUGGCUACCCGAGCGAGCAGUCUGUUCGUUGACGGCUUGUAAGGGGAAUUCCAAAAAACGAACUGCACCCGGAGAAGGUCAUAUCAAGAGGUUUUCGGACAGGGGUUCGACUCCCCUCGGAUCCACCA
RNAcentral lists this transfer-messenger RNA (369 nucleotides) under Eubacteriales. RNAcentral describes it as "SIG644 sp017631215 Standard tmRNA". It matches the Rfam family "transfer-messenger RNA". From Rfam's summary of the family: Bacterial tmRNA, also known as 10Sa RNA or SsrA, is named for its dual tRNA and mRNA-like properties. Its role is to liberate the mRNA from a stalled ribosome. RNAcentral also lists the same sequence under 1 other name. The record is from RNAcentral. Lineage: Bacteria; Bacillati; Bacillota; Clostridia.